AGCGAACGCUGGCGGCAGGCCUAACACAUGCAAGUCGAACGAACCUUUCGGGGUUAGUGGCGGACGGGUGAGUAACACGUGGGAACGUGCCUUUAGGUUCGGAAUAACUCAGGGAAACUUGUGCUAAUACCGAAUGUGCCCUUCGGGGGAAAGAUUUAUCGCCUUUAGAGCGGCCCGCGUCUGAUUAGCUAGUUGGUUGAGGUAAUGGCUCACCAAGGCGACGAUCAGUAGCUGGUCUGAGAGGAUGAUCAGCCACAUUGGGACUGAGACACGGCCCAAACUCCGACGGGAGGCAGCAGUGGGGAAUCUUGCGCAAUGGGCGAAAGCCUGACGCAGCCAUGCCGCGUGAAUGAUGAAGGUCUUAGGAUUGUAAAAUUCUUUCACCGGGGACGAUAAUGACGGUACCCGGAGAAGAAGCCCCGGCUAACUUCGU
RNAcentral lists this ribosomal RNA (433 nucleotides) under uncultured bacterium. RNAcentral's name for it is "partial 16S ribosomal RNA". It matches the Rfam family "Bacterial small subunit ribosomal RNA", at positions 29 to 506 of the family's 1533-position model. The record is from RNAcentral.